Long non-coding RNA from Canis lupus familiaris (dog), 323 nucleotides. RefSeq lists it as uncharacterized. The record is from RefSeq and is a predicted model, not a curated record. The transcript is spliced from 3 exons. NCBI's taxonomy places the organism in Eukaryota, Metazoa, Chordata, Mammalia, Carnivora, Canidae.
UUUCCAGACACCUUCCAAGCUCAGAUCCUGCCUCCAGUCUGCCUCUCAGGAUGACUGCUUGAUUAAUGAGCUUCUGUUCAUAAAGCUUUCUGAUGAGGAAUAUGCACCAUGGCUAUGUUUCUAGAGCAACUAUUAUAUACAAGAGGUACUGGUAGGACUCAUGAGUCUGCUACAGGUGGCUGCACAGAAGACUCAGCCUUGACUCUAGGAGUUUCUUUAGAGCCCUCUGGUGACAGACAGGAAAUAUACAAGAAAGUUUCCAGGGGUAUUGACACAUCACAUCAACAAGAUACUGCCCAAUGACUCAAGAACAGAAAAGGUAU